GACGAAACGCUGGCGGCGUGCUUAACACAUGCAAGUCGAGCGGUAAGGCCCUUUCGGGGGGUACACGAGCGGCGAACGGGUGAGUAACACGUGGGUGACCUGCCUCUAGCUCUGGGAUAAGCCCGGGAAACUGGGUCUAAUACUGGAUAUGACUCCAUGACGCAUGUUGUGGGGGUGAAAGCCUUGUGCGGCUAGAGAUGGGCCCG
RNAcentral lists this ribosomal RNA (206 nucleotides) under uncultured bacterium. RNAcentral describes it as "partial 16S ribosomal RNA". It matches the Rfam family "Bacterial small subunit ribosomal RNA", at positions 32 to 233 of the family's 1533-position model. The record is from RNAcentral.